This 2111-nucleotide long non-coding RNA is filed under the name Polistes fuscatus (common paper wasp). RNAcentral describes it as "uncharacterized LOC122516780, transcript variant X2". The record is from RNAcentral. Lineage: Eukaryota; Metazoa; Arthropoda; Insecta; Hymenoptera; Vespidae.
AACAACGACGACGACGACGACGACAACAAUGAUAAGGAAAAGCCAAAGCAAGAACGACGCCGCGUUUUAACAAGAACAACAACAACAACUCGACGACGACAACAACGACGACGACGACGACGACGAGGACGACGAGGACGACGGAGCUCGUCCAACCGCAAGAUCGAGACUGCCACCGGCGCAGCCAGUUCCAGAUUUUGUGAUCGUGCGUUGGAAAGAUAUGGGGGGAAACGCUUGAGAAAGAGAGAAAAAGAGGAAGAAAGAGAGAGAAAGAGGAGGCAAGGUGUAAAAAAAGGAGGAAGUCUGUGGGCAGUACAUGGUACGGCCCGUAUAGGACUAGUCUCGCAGCCAAUCGGUGGACAAUGACCGCUCGGAUAUGUCUGCUCGUGUAUUCCGAAACCCACGCUAAGAGCAACGCGCUAUGCCCACUCGAUCGUAUUCGGUUUGAACGCAUUGCGAGAACUUCUUGGUUCGUUGCUAAGGUGCACAUUCUCUUUGUCUUUACACCCAUUGCUCUCUUUAACGAUUUUCUUAUUUCACCAUUUUUUUUUCUUCAUUCAAGAUUAAGAGCCUUUAGGAACACACAAUUUCUAUUUUCCGUAAAUAACAAAUUUAAGAUUUUUUAGUAAAACGUAUAUUACUAUAACUGAAUAAUUAAUUGAUUCGUCAAUAAAUAAUAAUUCAUAAUUUCGAAAUAUUUGUUCUUUAAUUUAAGAUUAAUUAUACACAUUUUUGUUAUACUUAAUAAAUAUGAAAUCUGUAGUGGAACAUAUUGUUGCUCUGAACUGUACAAACACACAAUAAGUUAAUUCAUAAAUAAGUGUCAUAAUAAUUAUAGUUUAUUAUCAAGUAAACAAUAGUGAAUAGGAAUUCUAUCUUAUAAAAAAUAUCAAAAUUUAUUGCUAUGAUAUAAAAAUAAUUGAAAGCUUUUAUUGUAGUAAAUUUGUUAUUUUUGAGAACAAUUAUUUACGAAUCAACUCGAUCUAACUCGUAUAUAUGAUUCCUCUCUUAUUGUUAGUUGGUUAAAUUCGAUCUAACUCGAAUCUAUGAAUUUAUGGAUCAACUUGAUCUAAAUUGAAUCAUGGAACUAUGGGUCAACUCGAUCUAACUUUGCUUUAUGAAUGUAUGGAUCAACUCGAUCUAACUUGAGAGAGCAUGGAUAUAUGAAUCAACAGUAUCUUAUUUUAAUCUAUGGAUCAAUUUAAUCUAACCAUAAUCUAUAGAUCUAUGGAUUAUCUCUAUCUAACCAUAAUCUAUAGAUCUAUGGAUUAAUUAUAUCCUAACGCGAAUGUGUAUUUCAAUGAAUCUAACUCGAAUCCUAACUUUAAUCUAUGUAUUUAUGGAUCGACUUAAUCUAACUCGAAUCUAUAAAUUUAUGAAUCAGCCUAAUAUAAAUAAUACUCUUAAAAAAAAAAUAAUAAACCUUGACCACAUGAAAUAAUACAUUUUACGAUUAUAAAGACAAAUAAAAAUAAGAUACAGCUUUUAAGAAACAACGAUAUAAAAUGAGUUAAAUAAACCAAAUUCCAAUCAAAUGGAAUAUCAACAUAUUUUUUUCUAACAUUCGCUAUUCGAAAGAUCAAUCAUUUAUUGGCAAUAAAAUAUUUUUUAAUAAAUCAACAAUUCAACCUCGAAUGUAUCAACUUCAGGUAGUAGUCUGGUAACUUGAGUUCAAAAAAUCGAAAAUUUUUUUUUUGCUUAAUUUGAAAGUGCAAUGUCUUGAGAAUAUACUGUGAAAAUUUCAGACAGAAAUUCGAAAUAUUUCGGGAGUUAUAACGAGUUUCCUAGAGCGCCUCGGAGUCCAACCGACGUCCGAUUGACAUGACAUCAAGAGCCAAAAUCACCCGGGCCACCCAUGUGCAUUUUUUUUGAGGUUCCAACUUCGAGUGACAAUAAUAAUAGUUAUAAACUAUUAAAUUUUUUCAAAUAAAUUUUUUUUUAUAUUUUCAAUAUGUAAAUAAAAACACUCUAAAUAUUCAAGAUAAUUCAUUUUCAUUUUCCUAUAAAAAACCACCCUCCAAAAAAGUCAUGAAAAAAAAGUUACCAGACUACUACCUUCAAUCAAAAGUUCUACAAAUCAUCUCGAUAUAACAAAUAAUCUCUCUUCAAAA